Molecule: ribosomal RNA, 497 nt
Filed under: uncultured bacterium
Lineage: Bacteria
Description: partial 16S ribosomal RNA
Rfam family: Bacterial small subunit ribosomal RNA
Source: RNAcentral
GAUGAAUGCUGGCGGCGUGCCUAAUACAUGCAAGUCGAGCGAACGGACGAGAAGCUUGCUUUUCUGAUGUUAGCGGCGGACGGGUGAGUAACACGUGGAUAACCUACCUAUAAGACUGGGAUAACUUCGGGAAACCGGAGCUAAUACCGGAUAAUAUUUUGAACCGCAUGGUUCAAAAGUGAAAGACGGUCUUGCUGUCACUUAUAGAUGGAACCGAGCUGCAUUAGCUAGUUGGUAAGGUAACGGCUUACCAAGGCGACGAUGCAUAGCCGACCUGAGAGGGUGAUCGGCCACACUGGAACUGAGACACGGUCCAGACUCCUACGGGAGGCAGCAGUAGGGAAUCUUCCGCAAUGGGCGAAAGCCUGACGGAGCAACGCCGCGUGAGUGAUGAAGGUCUUCGGAUCGUAAAACUCUGUUAUUAGGGAAGAACAUAUGUGUAAGUAACUGUGCACAUCUUGACGGUACCUAAUCAGAAAGCCACGGCUAACUACGUG